Saccostrea echinata is the source of this 375-nucleotide long non-coding RNA. RefSeq lists it as uncharacterized. The transcript is spliced from 3 exons. Lineage: Eukaryota; Metazoa; Mollusca; Bivalvia; Ostreida; Ostreidae. The record is from RefSeq and is a predicted model, not a curated record.
UCGAUCAUCUCGUUAUCUGUCCUACAUCAACAUGGGAAAACUUCUCAUUGUAUUGACUCUUCUCUGCUUCGUGGCCCUGACGACCGCUUGUCCUCUUGGAACGCAGCAACACUAUAAUCGUCGCUGCUGUUAUCAUAACUUUCAUUGCCAUCUCGGAGAAUAUUGUAGAAUUGUGUCUCACUUCCCGUAUACGCACGGCUACUGCCGUAUUGCAACCGGCGAUUAUGUAGGACGAUAAAAUUAAGGGAAGAAUGGAAAAAGGCACAUGAUUGGCAAAUUGACAAAACAGCUUGAUAUUUCAAAUAAAUUAAACUUGCAGUGAUCAAUGUUCAAUCAAUUUAUAAUUGAAGCAUUUGAAUAAAAUUUUGCAUCUUG